UAAACUGGAGGAAGGUGGGGAUGACGUCAAGUCAUCAUGGCCCUUACGACCAGGGCUACACACGUGCUACAAUGGCGCAUACAAAGAGAAGCGACCUCGCGAGAGCAAGCGGACCUCAUAAAGUGCGUCGUAGUCCGGAUUGGAGUCUGCAACUCGACUCCAUGAAGUCGGAAUCGCUAGUAAUCGUGGAUCAGAAUGCCACGGUGAAUACGUUCCCGGGCCUUGUACACACCGCCCGUCACACCAUGGGAGUGGGUUGCAAAAGAAGUAGGUAGCUUAACCUUCGGGAGGGCGCUUACCACUUUGUGAUUCAUGACUGGGGUGAAGUCGUAACAAGGUAACCGUAGGGGAACCUGCGGUUGGAUCACCUCCUUACCUGAAAGAA
RNAcentral lists this ribosomal RNA (385 nucleotides) under Salmonella enterica subsp. enterica serovar Kentucky. RNAcentral's name for it is "bacterial SSU rRNA". It matches the Rfam family "Bacterial small subunit ribosomal RNA", at positions 1159 to 1533 of the family's 1533-position model. Lineage: Bacteria; Pseudomonadati; Pseudomonadota; Gammaproteobacteria; Enterobacterales; Enterobacteriaceae. The record is from RNAcentral.